CAGUCGCCACGGUAAUACGGAGGGUGCAAGCGUUAAUCGGAAUUACUGGGCGUAAAGCGUGCGUAGGCGGUUCGUUAAGUCUGUUGUGAAAGCCCCGGGCUCAACCUGGGAAUGGCAAUGGAUACUGGCGAGCUAGAGUGUGUCAGUGGAUGGUGGAAUUCCCGGUGUAGCGGUGGAAUGCGUAGAGAUCGGGAGGAAUAUCAGUGGCGAAGGCGGCCAUCUGGGACAACACUGACGCUGAGGCACGAAAGCGUGGGGAGCAAACAGGAUUAGAUACCCGAGUAGUCCCUGUCUCUUAUAA
RNAcentral lists this ribosomal RNA (301 nucleotides) under uncultured bacterium. RNAcentral's name for it is "partial 16S ribosomal RNA". It matches the Rfam family "Bacterial small subunit ribosomal RNA", at positions 509 to 809 of the family's 1533-position model. The record is from RNAcentral.